Molecule: ribosomal RNA, 273 nt
Filed under: uncultured bacterium
Lineage: Bacteria
Description: partial 16S ribosomal RNA
Source: RNAcentral
CUGCUGCCUUCCGUAGGAGUUUGGACCGUGUCUCGGUUCCAAUGUGGGGGACCUUCCUCUCAGAACCCCUACGCAUCGUCGGCUUGGUGGGCCGUUGCCCCACCAACUACCUAAUGCGCCGCAUGCCCAUCCGUGACCGGGGUCGCCCCCUUUGGCCGGCAGGGGAUGUCCCCUCCCGGCAUUAUGUUGUAUUAGGCGGGAUUUCUCCCGGUUAUCCAUCUGUCACGGCCAGGUUGCAUACGUGUUACUCACCCGUGCGCCGGUCGCCGGCGG